AUUGAACGCUGGCGGCAUGCUUUACACAUGCAAGUCGAACGGUAACAGGUUAAGCUGACGAGUGGCGAACGGGUGAGUAAUGCAUCGGAACGUGCCCGGUCGUGGGGGAUAACGCAGCGAAAGCUGCGCCAAUACCGCAUACGAUCUGAGGAUGAAAGCGGGGGACCGUAAGGCCUCGCGCGAUCGGAGCGGCCGAUGUCAGAUUAGGUAGUUGGUGGGGUAAAGGCUCACCAAGCCAACGAUCUGUAGCUGGUCUGAGAGGACGACCAGCCACACUGGGACUGAGACACGGCCCAGACUCCUACGGGAGGCAGCAGUGGGGAAUUUUGGACAAUGGGCGAAAGCCUGAUCCAGCAAUGCCGCGUGCAGGAAGAAGGCCUUCGGGUUGUAAACUGCUUUUGUACGGAGCGAAAAGGUCUCCUCAAUACAGGGGGCUCAUGACGGUACCGUAAGAAUAAGCACCGGCUAACUACGUGCCAGCCGCCGCAGUAA
Molecule: ribosomal RNA, 492 nt
Filed under: uncultured bacterium
Lineage: Bacteria
Description: partial 16S ribosomal RNA
Rfam family: Bacterial small subunit ribosomal RNA
Source: RNAcentral